CUUAUAUUAUUACGGUGACUGCAUAAAUACCUCUUGUUCGUAUGGCAUUGAACGAAUACAAAAAAAGAGGGUGCUGCUGGCGCGCGACUGCUGCAGAAUUGCGAAUAAUAUCACAGCGGUGCAGGAUUUUGUGAUGGGUCUGCCACCAGUGAGAAAACUGUCAAAAACAAAGUGUCGAAACAAAGCAAAGGGCUUUACCCCGCUCCACUCAAGAUUAUAGAGUGUGUUCAGACAAGUGUUGAAAACGGUAACGCUGCUGGAUAUCAGACUGAAUCACAGGGCAGUAUCAUAAACACUUUGGUCCUGUCUCGUGUAUCUGUUUGGUUGGCUGUCUCUGCCCAUGUGUCGCGAAUGUGGUUGCCUUCCAGUUUGCUGCACGCUUGUUCUCUGCGCUCACGAGUCUUCAACGGAGGACUCCUCAUCUCUGCUCACGUGUCGGGAGAGUGAUUGCCAUCCAGUCUGCUGGGCGUUGUCCUCUGCACCUCACUACGCUUCAACGGAGGAUCCCUACGAAUCUGCUCCUGACUUCCACACCGCACACACUCGCCUACAAAUACACUAUUCACGGAUUUGCCCAAUGCACAGCCACAGCGCGAAUACAGUACAUCUUCAGACUCCUCCCUGCAACUGCAGCCGGUGCCGGGAUCCUCAGUCUUCGCCGGCACAGUGGAAAACUUUGGUAAGCUGGCUAUGUCGUCAGAGUCCAGGGCUCUGAUUGGUCUGUAUCAAGGUCAGAUGGCCUGCAAGAACCACUUUGGCCAGCCGGAGAGAGAAGUGAAGAAGUGAAGUGGGAAGCUGGCUGUCCUUUGUUUGGGGCCUAUGGGAGCAGGUAUCGCCCAGGUGACGAUAGACAAGGGUGUGGCCACCAUCCUAAAGGACACAACGCAGGAAGGACUUGCCAGAGGUCAACAAUUGAUUGAUAGAUAGACAGACAGACAGACAUGAUAGAUAGAUAGAUAGAUAGACAGACAUGAUAGAUAGAUAGAUUGAUAGAUAGAUAGAUAGACAGACAUGAUAGAUAGACAGAUAGAUAGAUAGAUAGAUAGAUAGAUAGAUAGAUAGAUAGAUAGACAGACAUGAUAGAUAGAUAGACAGACAUGAUAGAUAGAUAGAUAGAUAGAUAGAUAGACAGACAUGAUAGAUAGAUAGACAGACAUGAUAGAUAGAUAGAUAGAUAGAUAGAUAGAUAGAUAGAUAGAUAGAUACUCAGUCUGACAUUAACUGCAGGUCAUAGUAUGAAACAGCAGAGGGCGCUGCACUCCAGUGCAUGAGUGUGGAAAGAGACUAUUACAGUUGAGAGCCACUAGGUGUCAGUGCUGUACACCUUCUGUUUGUAAACACCCAUGAAAUUAGACUGUUUUUUUAAUUUUAUUUUUUUAUCCAUAAUAAUGAUGGAAGUUUUCUUUCUGUGAGGGUUUCCACAGUCUUGGAAAGCCUUGAAUUUUAAAUUCUAAAAUGAUUUCUAGCCCUGGAAAAGUCAUGGAAGUUAAUAUAAAUAUAUUUUAAAUAAAUAAUAGAAGUUAAUGGAAUCUUGAAAUCAUGGCAAUUUCCAUAGUAAAUAAAUAUAUUUUUCUAGUUAUGCUCAAAUCUAAAACAUUUUAAGAAAAGAUUUUUAAGGAUUCAUGUCCAGUAAUCACAAGUGACUGGGAAAAGGCGUGAAAAUGUGUUGGUCAAAAGGUGAGGGAACCCUGUAUAAUGCAGUUUUUUGUUAUAGGCAAAAAUAUUUGUUUUGACGGUUGUGAAUGUGUUUUAGACUUGAUAAAUACCUUUUAAAAACAAAAUAAAGAAGGGGUUUAUUUUGCGAUAAUGACCAGCUGACUGUACAUUUUCAAUUACGUUUUUAUGUGAAAAGAAAGAAAUCGCAGAGUCUCCAGAAACAGCUGAAUUCCACUUCUGAUUUGCACUGGAGUUCUGAUGAACCUGUUGGUGUUUAUUUUGUGAAAAUGACUGUCUGACUGCUCAUUAAACCACUAAUUACAAGACUUCUUGCCAAAUGGAUAAAUAAAUGCAGUGAAAUAUUUAUUAGAGCUGAAAUUAUUUUAUAAGCUUACUAAAGAUCGCAAAGUAAUAAGAGAAGUAAUAAAGACUUGCAAUACCCGGAUGACCGAUGAAAUAUCAUUGUAUACCCAGAUGUGUGGUUGUUGUUCAGAAAUAUCUGACCGCUAGAUGGUGUGAUUGACCAGUCAGAAUCAAGUAUUCCAGAGAGCUGUUUAAUAAUAUCAAAAUGUAUUAGAAAGUAAUAUAUCAAAUUCUAUAAUCUCUCUCAGGCUCAACGACAAAACCAAAAAGAAGUCUUAUGACUUUUGAGAGAAAUGCAAUUCUGUCCUCGUUGUCAGGACAGCUGGAGUAUCGUGGCUUUGAGACUGUGGACAUGGUUAUUGAAGCUGUGUUGGAAGACCUGUCAAUCAAACAUAAAGUGGUGAAGGAGGUGGAAGCUGAAAGUUAAGAUGUGUGCGUAUGUUUGCUGAGUGCAACAACCCUCCUGAUAUCUCUGUCCAUUUCUAUCCUCGUGUAUUAAAUGGUAUUAUUAUUUCUGCUUGUUAAACUCUUCAACGAAUGUUGUAUUUAUAGAUGUUUCCUGCAUUCUUGGUGGUCCUACAUAAAGAUUACACUUCUUCAUGA
Molecule: long non-coding RNA, 2622 nt
Organism: Myxocyprinus asiaticus (Chinese sucker)
Lineage: Eukaryota; Metazoa; Chordata; Actinopteri; Cypriniformes; Catostomidae
Exons: 6
Source: RefSeq, a predicted model, not a curated record